This 307-nucleotide long non-coding RNA is filed under the name Homo sapiens (human). RNAcentral's name for it is "non-protein coding lnc-IDO1-1:1". Lineage: Eukaryota; Metazoa; Chordata; Mammalia; Primates; Hominidae. The record is from RNAcentral.
AGAUCAAGCUGGUGGUCUUCCUGCCUGCCCUGUGUCGUAAAAUGGUGUCCCUUACUGCAUUAUCAAAGGGAAGGCAAGACUGGGUUGUCUAGUCCACAGGAAGACCUGCACCACUGUCGCCUUCACAUGGUUUAACUCAGAAGACAAAGGAGUUUUGGCUAAGCUGGUGGAAGCUAUCAGGACCAAUUACAACAACAGAUAUGAUGAGCUCUCCCAUCAGUGGGGAGGCAAUGUCCUGGGUCCCAAGUCUGUGGCUCGCAUUGCCAAACUCAAAAGGGCAAAAGCUAAAAAAAUUGCCACUAAACUG